Molecule: long non-coding RNA, 620 nt
Filed under: Patiria miniata (bat star)
Lineage: Eukaryota; Metazoa; Echinodermata; Asteroidea; Valvatida; Asterinidae
Description: uncharacterized LOC119723874
Source: RNAcentral
GAUUGCAGCCACGUGAUGUCACACACUUAACCGACAAACACUAGCAACCACGUGCACGCUUCGUGUGAACGUCAUACAAAGAAGUACAUGACAUACCACACCAGGCUGUAUCAAAACAUCUUCAGGUGACGUGGGGAGGGGGAGGGUGGUCAUUAAAUGCAUCUCCACUCCCCAGCAAGGUUAUCAAUUGACUACAAGCAACCACAGGUAACGCAUCCCUAGUUGAGGCCAAUGGUUGGUAAAGCAACACAAGGUCUCUGCUUUGAUGAACUGUACAAAUUUGCAGUAAGUUGCCAACUGGCUAAUAUUCGAUGGCAGCAACUACAUCACUGUACAUCAAUGGGCGCAGACCUAGACCGAGCUCUAGACAGCUGAUUCGGAUGCAGCCUAUGCUUCACAACACAAACAACAGACAAACUAUUUGCCUUGUUUAUGCUCAUGAUUCAACAAUAUUUAGGUCCUGCUACCACUUUGACUUAUUAUCUUGAAAGCUUCACCAGAAACCCAUUUCAAUCAAACAUGCAAUAAAUUACACUGAUCCAGAAAUAAGCAAAUAGGAGUGGAUGCAUGAAAAGAGAUUGUGUAUCAUUAAUUAUUUGUUGUUUUCUACCUUUUGAUAU